This 837-nucleotide ribosomal RNA is filed under the name Marasmius auranticapitatus. Its description in RNAcentral is "Marasmius sp. JJSO-2022a partial large subunit ribosomal RNA". It matches the Rfam family "Eukaryotic large subunit ribosomal RNA", at positions 72 to 899 of the family's 3401-position model. The record is from RNAcentral. Lineage: Eukaryota; Fungi; Basidiomycota; Agaricomycetes; Agaricales; Marasmiaceae.
GGAUUCCCUAGUAACUGCGAGUGAAGAGGGAAAAGCUCAAAUUUAAAAUCUGGCAGCUUCGCUGUCCGAGUUGUAAUUUAGAGAAGUGUUACCCGUGUUGGACCGUGUAUAAGUCUCCUGGAAUGGAGCGUCAUAGAGGGUGAGAAUCCCGUCUUUGACACGGACUACCAAUGCAUUGUGGUGCGCUCUCGAAGAGUCGAGUUGUUUGGGAAUGCAGCUCUAAAUGGGUGGUAAAUUCCAUCUAAAGCUAAAUAUUGGCGAGAGACCGAUAGCGAACAAGUACCGUGAGGGAAAGAUGAAAAGAACUUUGGAAAGAGAGUUAAACAGUACGUGAAAUUGCUGAAAGGGAAACGCUUGAAGUCAGUCGCGUUGGCCGGGGAUCAGCCUUGCUUUUGUGAGGUGUACUUCCUGGUUGACGGGUCAGCAUCAGUUUCGACCACUGGAAAAAGACUUGGGGAAUGUGGCAACUUCGGUUGUGUUAUAGCCCUUUGUCGUAUACAGUGAUUGGGACUGAGGAACUCAGCACGCCGCAAGGCCGGGUUUCGACCACGUUCGUGCUUAGGAUGCUGGCAAAAUGGCUUUAAUCGACCCGUCUUGAAACACGGACCAAGGAGUCUAACAUGCUUGCGAGUGUUUGGGUGGAAAACCCGAGCGCGUAAUGAAAGUGAAAGUUGGGAUCUCUGUCGUGGAGAGCACCGACGCCCGGACCAGAAGUUUACUGACGGAUCUGCGGUAGAGCACGUAUGUUGGGACCCGAAAGAUGGUGAACUAUGCCUGAAUAGGGUGAAGCCAGAGGAAACUCUGGUGGAGGCUCGUAGCGAUUCUGACGUGCAAAUC